AAAAACGACUCUCGGCAACGGAUAUCACGGCUCACGCAUCGAUGAAGAACGUAGCAAAAUGCGAUACUUGGUGUGAAUUGCAGAAUCCCGUGAAUCAUCGAGUUUUUGAACGCAAGUUGCGCCCAAAACCAUCCGGUUGAGGGCACGCCUGCCUGGNCGUC
This 161-nucleotide ribosomal RNA is filed under the name Crepidiastrum linguifolium. RNAcentral describes it as "Crepidiastrum linguaefolium 5.8S rRNA". It matches the Rfam family "5.8S ribosomal RNA". Rfam says of the family: 5.8S ribosomal RNA (5.8S rRNA) is a component of the large subunit of the eukaryotic ribosome. Lineage: Eukaryota; Viridiplantae; Streptophyta; Magnoliopsida; Asterales; Asteraceae. The record is from RNAcentral.